CUCUCCCUUUAUGGGAAGUAACUGAGCAGAGGCAUUGUUCGGAUUCAUGUCCCAUUCUCCUGCACCAAUCUAUCUCAGAUUGAAAAGCAUCUUCGUGCCUUCUCCUCAGACUCUGAUAAUUAUCUAAAAGAGUUCAAGUCUCUUAUCCAGUCUUACGACUUAACCUGGCAUGAUAUUUACAUCAUACUUUCCUCCACUCUUCUCCCAGGAGAGAAGGAACAAGUAUGGGAUUUGGACAUCCCCUCUGGUCCCAAGCAAGAGUCCUCCGACCCAGCUCUGCCCAGCCUCCUCAGACUCACCACUGAAGACGAAGGUGCUCAGGGCUCCAGGCCCCGACUCUCAUCACCUCUAUGGAGCCCAGGGUAACUCUUACAGUGGCAGGUACAUAACAGAGAGAAGGCCCUCAGAGCCACCGAACUGCCAAACUACAGGGUUACUGACACCAGUUUAUGACUACCUUUAAAACAAUGCAAGAGGAAGAAAUCAAAAUCCUAUCAUCUUUUUUCCUCAUCACCGACUCCUGACCUGGACCCCUUGCCUUAUAUAAGCUCCUAGACUCCUCAAGGAGGGAGGGCUAAGUUCUUGAGGCAUGAGACUACUGUGUUCCCCUCUCCGCUGGCUGAGAAUAAAAGCCACCUUUCUAUUUCCUCUAAACUCUGUCUCUGUAUUUUUCAUUCAACCUCGGUGGGCAGAGAACACCAAGAUUUUGGCCAGCAAUAGGCAUGACACUUUAAUGACAUCGGGUUAUUGUAAAAGGAAAAGGUAAAAAU
Molecule: long non-coding RNA, 770 nt
Filed under: Capra hircus (goat)
Lineage: Eukaryota; Metazoa; Chordata; Mammalia; Artiodactyla; Bovidae
Description: lncRNA (ENSCHIG00000004202.1)
Source: RNAcentral